This 27-nucleotide ribosomal RNA is filed under the name Rhytidium rugosum. RNAcentral describes it as "partial 25S ribosomal RNA". The record is from RNAcentral. Lineage: Eukaryota; Viridiplantae; Streptophyta; Bryopsida; Hypnales; Rhytidiaceae.
CAGACGUCAUCUCGGCAAAUCCCUGAG